UCGUCGAUGGCGCAGUCGGUAACGCUGCCGCCUUUCGCGCGGGAGGUCACAGGUUCGAUGCCGUUUUGGUGAA
Molecule: transfer RNA, 73 nt
Filed under: Caenorhabditis japonica
Lineage: Eukaryota; Metazoa; Nematoda; Chromadorea; Rhabditida; Rhabditidae
Description: tRNA CJA47563
Rfam family: tRNA
About the family: Transfer RNA (tRNA) molecules are approximately 80 nucleotides in length.
Source: Rfam by way of RNAcentral